GGCGGCGUGCCUAAUACAUGCAAGUCGAGCGAAUGGAUUGAGAGCUUGCUCUCAAGAAGUUAGCGGCGGACGGGUGAGUAACACGUGGGUAACCUGCCCAUAAGACUGGGAUAACUCCGGGAAACCGGGGCUAAUACCGGAUAACAUUUUGAACUGCAUGGUUCGAAAUUGAAAGGCGGCUUCGGCUGUCACUUAUGGAUGGACCCGCGUCGCAUUAGCUAGUUGGUGAGGUAACGGCUCACCAAGGCAACGAUGCGUAGCCGACCUGAGAGGGUGAUCGGCCACACUGGGACUGAGACACGGCCCAGACUCCUACGGGAGGCAGCAGUAGGGAAUCUUCCGCAAUGGACGAAAGUCUGACGGAGCAACGCCGCGUGAGUGAUGAAGGCUUUCGGGUCGUAAAACUCUGUUGUUAGGGAAGAACAAGUGCUAGUUGAAUAAGCUGGCACCUUGACGGUACCUAACCAGAAAGCCACGGCUAA
This 482-nucleotide ribosomal RNA is filed under the name marine sediment bacterium ISA-7301. RNAcentral's name for it is "bacterial SSU rRNA". It matches the Rfam family "Bacterial small subunit ribosomal RNA", at positions 38 to 500 of the family's 1533-position model. The record is from RNAcentral.